GAUGAACGCUGGCGGCGUGCCUAAUACAUGCAAGUCGAGCGAACGGACGAGAAGCUUGCUUCUCUGAUGUUAGCGGCGGACGGGUGGGUAACACGUGGAUAACCUACCUAUAAGACUGGGAUAACUUCGGGAAACCGGAGCUAAUACCGGAUAAUAUUUUGAACCGCAUGGUUCAAAAGUGAAAGACGGUCUUGCUGUCACUUAUAGAUGGAUCCGCGCUGCAUUAGCUAGUUGGUAAGGUAACGGCUUACCAAGGCAACGAUGCAUAGCCGACCUGAGAGGGGGUUCGACCACACUGGAACUGAGACACGGACCAGACUCCUACGGGAGGCAGCAGUAGGGAAUCUUCCGCAAUGGUCGGAAGCCGGACGGAGCAACGCCGCGUGAGUGAUGAAGGUCUUCGGAUCGUAAAACUCUGUUAUUAGGGAAGAACAUAUGUGUAAGUAACUGUGCACAGCUUGACGGUACCUAAUCAGAAAGCCACGGCUAACUACGUG
Molecule: ribosomal RNA, 497 nt
Filed under: uncultured bacterium
Lineage: Bacteria
Description: partial 16S ribosomal RNA
Rfam family: Bacterial small subunit ribosomal RNA
Source: RNAcentral